GAUGAACGCUGGCGGCGUGCCUAAUACAUGCAAGUCGAGCGAACAGACGAGGAGCUUGCUCCUCUGACGUUAGCGGCGGACGGGUGAGUAACACGUGGAUAACCUACCUAUAAGACUGGGAUAACUUCGGGAAACCGGAGCUAAUACCGGAUAAUAUAUUGAACCGCAUGGUUCAAUAGGGAAAGACGGUUUGGCUGUCGCUUAUAGAUGGAUCCGCGCCGCAUCAGCUAGUUGGUAAGGUAACGGCUUACCAAGGCAACGAUGGGUAGCCGGCCUGAGAGGGUGGGCGGCCACAGUGGGACUGAGACACGGCCCAGACUCCUACGGGAGGCAGCGGUGGGGAAUAUUGCACAAUGGUCUGAAGCCUGAUGCAGCGACGCCGCGGGGUGGAUGACGGCCUACGGGUUGUAAACGCAUUUCACCAUCGACGAAGGGUUUCUGACGGUAGAUAGAGAAGAAGCGCCGGCUAACUACGUG
Molecule: ribosomal RNA, 477 nt
Filed under: uncultured bacterium
Lineage: Bacteria
Description: partial 16S ribosomal RNA
Rfam family: Bacterial small subunit ribosomal RNA
Source: RNAcentral